Long non-coding RNA from Raphanus sativus (radish), 199 nucleotides. RefSeq lists it as uncharacterized. The transcript is spliced from 3 exons. The record is from RefSeq and is a predicted model, not a curated record. NCBI's taxonomy places the organism in Eukaryota, Viridiplantae, Streptophyta, Magnoliopsida, Brassicales, Brassicaceae.
UGCAGAGCUCUGAAGUCGCAGAACCUAACAGGCAUCGUCCCUCCUGAGUUCUCGAAGCUUCGCCACCUCAAAGUUUUAGACCUUAGCCGUAACUAUCUGACUGGUUCCAUUCCAAAGGAAUGGGCUUCUAUGCGCUUAGAAGAUUUAUCUUUCAUGGGAAACAGAUUGUCUGGUCCGUUCCCCAAAGUCCUAACUCGCC